RNAcentral lists this ribosomal RNA (433 nucleotides) under Exiguobacterium sp. RNAcentral describes it as "bacterial SSU rRNA". It matches the Rfam family "Bacterial small subunit ribosomal RNA", at positions 76 to 489 of the family's 1533-position model. Lineage: Bacteria; Bacillati; Bacillota; Bacilli; Caryophanales. The record is from RNAcentral.
CCCUUCGGGGGGACGUUGAUGGAAUGAGCGGCGGACGGGUGAGUAACACGUAAAGAACCUGCCCUCAGGUCUGGGAUAACCACGAGAAAUCGGGGCUAAUACCGGAUGGGUCAUCGGACCGCAUGGUCCGAGGAUGAAAGGCGCUUCGGCGUCGCCUGGGGAUGGCUUUGCGGUGCAUUAGCUAGUUGGUGGGGUAAUGGCCCACCAAGGCGACGAUGCAUAGCCGACCUGAGAGGGUGAUCGGCCACACUGGGACUGAGACACGGCCCAGACUCCUACGGGAGGCAGCAGUAGGGAAUCUUCCACAAUGGACGAAAGUCUGAUGGAGCAACGCCGCGUGAACGAUGAAGGCCUUCGGGUCGUAAAGUUCUGUUGUAAGGGAAGAACAAGUGCCGCAGGCAAUGGCGGCACCUUGACGGUACCUUGCGAGAAA